GUGAGGAAUUUUCCGCAAUGGGCGAAAGCCUGACGGAGCAAUGCCGCGUGAAGGAUGAAGGCCUAUGGGUUGUAAACUUCUUUUCUCAGAAAAGAAUUAUGACGGUAUCUGAGGAAUAAGCAUCGGCUAACUCUGUGCCAGCAGCCGCGGUAAUACGAAGGUCCCAAGCGUUGUUCGGAAUCACUGGGCGUAAAGGGAGCGUAGGCUGCGCGGUAAGUCAGGUGUGAAAUCCCGGGGCUCAACCCCGGAACUGCACCCGAUACUGCCGUGAUAGAGGGUUGGAGAGGUGACUGGAAUUCUCGGUGUAGCAGUGAAAUGCGUGGAUAUCGAGAGGAACACUCGUGGCGAAGGCGAGUCACUGGACAACAUCUGACGCUGAGGCUCGAAGGCCAGGGGAGCAAAAGGGAUUAGAAACCCGAGUAGUCC
RNAcentral lists this ribosomal RNA (426 nucleotides) under uncultured bacterium. RNAcentral's name for it is "partial 16S ribosomal RNA". It matches the Rfam family "Bacterial small subunit ribosomal RNA", at positions 354 to 796 of the family's 1533-position model. The record is from RNAcentral.